Molecule: non-coding RNA, 92 nt
Organism: Ceratobasidium sp. 414
Lineage: Eukaryota; Fungi; Basidiomycota; Agaricomycetes; Cantharellales; Ceratobasidiaceae
Source: the annotation of a GenBank genome assembly
GGGCAUGUAGCGCAGUUGGUAGCGCGCUCGCUUAGCAAGUUUCUCCUUAAAUAAGCUGCGAGAGGUCUUGGGUUCAAUUCCCAACUUGUCCA